RNAcentral lists this ribosomal RNA (449 nucleotides) under uncultured bacterium. RNAcentral describes it as "bacterial SSU rRNA". It matches the Rfam family "Bacterial small subunit ribosomal RNA", at positions 28 to 492 of the family's 1533-position model. The record is from RNAcentral.
GAUGAACGCUGGCGGCGUGCUUAACACAUGCAAGUCGAACGGACUUAAGAUGAAGCCUAGCGAUUCUUAAGUUAGUGGCGGACGGGUGAGUAACGCGUGGGUAACCUGCCUCACACUGGGGGAUAACAGUUAGAAAUAGCUGCUAAUACCGCAUAAGCGCACGGUGUCGCAUGACACAGUGUGAAAAACUCCGGUGGUGUGAGAUGGACCCGCGUCUGAUUAGCUAGUUGGUGGGGUAACGGCUCACCAAGGCGACGAUCAGUAGCCGGCCUGAGAGGGUGAACGGCCACAUUGGGACUGAGACACGGCCCAAACUCCUACGGGAGCAGCAGUGGGAAUAUUGCACAAUGGGGGAAACCCUGAUGCAGCGACGCCGCGUGAGUGAAGAGUAUUUCGGUAUGUAAAGCUCUAUCAGCAGGGAANAAAAUGACGUACCUGACUAAGAAGCU